UCGAUUCUCACAUCAAUUUUGGAAUCGCUUCCAUUUACAGAAAAUGACGAAAUUAGAGCCCAGAAGCUUCCAAUUCGUUCGCUAUCCACAACUCUGCGUGGAAUCGUUUUCAAUUCGAACUCCUAGAUUAGAUUGUCUUUGAUCAAAAACGAAUCUGCUACUUAAUUUGAUUUCUACGUCACCGGUAUCAUCUCUUAAAGUCAUUGCGGUGAUUUCUGACCUUGAUUCUUCCUUUACGUUGUAGGAUCGUGAUCGCUUUGCUCGAAUCUUACUUCACAAUCACAAUCACAAGGAAUGCACAGAUAAGGUCUUGAAUUCGACGCAAGAGCAGCGUUCUCCCUACCGCUGUGCUUUCAAACACAUUAUCAAGAAGCUUCUAUAACAAACUCGGUUGAGAGAAAGUACACAACCUUUAUCAAAUCCAGCAACCGCUCAACAAGUUCUUGAUUAUCUGAGCUUGUAAGGCUUCCAGUCCAUGUAAAGACAGUGGAGCUGCUAUUCAAUAUGUAGCAGUAGGAGGAAUUCAAAGACGAUGCAACCUGACAAAGGAGAAUAUAUAAGCUUUGAGGUAAAAUGGAUUCAAAAGUACAGGAUGAGCUGACCUCGGCAGCUGCAGUUGCUUUCUUCCGGUCGUCAAGAG
Molecule: long non-coding RNA, 640 nt
Organism: Cucurbita maxima (winter squash)
Lineage: Eukaryota; Viridiplantae; Streptophyta; Magnoliopsida; Cucurbitales; Cucurbitaceae
Exons: 3
Source: RefSeq, a predicted model, not a curated record